This 481-nucleotide ribosomal RNA is filed under the name uncultured bacterium. RNAcentral describes it as "partial 16S ribosomal RNA". It matches the Rfam family "Bacterial small subunit ribosomal RNA", at positions 28 to 507 of the family's 1533-position model. The record is from RNAcentral.
GAUGAACGCUGGCGGCGUGCUUAACACAUGCAAGUCGAACGAAGCAUUUAAGACAGAUUACUUCGGUUUGAAGUCUUUUAUGACUGAGUGGCGGACGGGUGAGUAACGCGUGGGUAACCUGCCUCAUACAGGGGGGUAGCAGCUGGAAACGGCUGGUAAUACCGCAUAAGCGCACAGUACCACAUGGUACAGUGUGAAAAACUCCGGUGGUAUGAGAUGGACCCGCGUCUGAUUAGCUUGUUGGCGGGGUAACGGCCCACCAAGGCGUCGAUCAGUAGCCGACCUGAGAGGGUGACCGGCCACAUUGGGACUGAGACACGGCCCAGACUCCUACGGGAGGCAGCAGUGGGGAAUAUUGCACAAUGGAGGAAACUCUGAUGCAGCGACGCCGCGUGAGUGAAGAAGUAGUUCGCUAUGUAAAGCUCUAUCAGCAGGGAAGAUAGUGACGGUACCUGACUAAGAAGCUCCGGCUAAAUACGUG